GGGCCCGUGGUCUAGCGGUUAUGACGUCUCCUUGACGUGGAGGAAGUCCCCAGUUCAAAUCUGGGCGGGCCCA
RNAcentral lists this transfer RNA (73 nucleotides) under Candidatus Woesearchaeota archaeon. RNAcentral's name for it is "tRNA-Val". It matches the Rfam family "tRNA". Rfam says of the family: Transfer RNA (tRNA) molecules are approximately 80 nucleotides in length. Their secondary structure includes four short double-helical elements and three loops (D, anti-codon, and T loops). The record is from RNAcentral. Lineage: Archaea; Nanobdellati; Candidatus Woesearchaeota.